Molecule: long non-coding RNA, 4580 nt
Organism: Bos taurus (domestic cattle)
Lineage: Eukaryota; Metazoa; Chordata; Mammalia; Artiodactyla; Bovidae
Source: Ensembl
AUGUAGACCACAAACUUUUAUUUCCAACACAUCACAUGAAAAUCCACAGAAAAGGGGAAAAAAUAGCAAACUUUAUAAAACUGAAAAUUGUACCGGUGAAAUCACUUAUCCAGAAAGUCAAAACCCAGGCCAGAAAUGAAGAAAAAAUAUUUGCAAACUACACAUGUGAUAAAGAACUUGUACCUGCAUAAUAUAAAGUGCUAUGAAACAAGCAGCUACGUUAAAAAAAUGGGUACCAGGAGCUUAUUUAACUAAUAUGCAGAGUACAUCAUGUAAAAUGCUGGGCUGGAUGAAACUCAAGCCGGAAUCAAGAUUGCCAGAAUAAAAUUAUCUCAUACGCAGAUGACACCACCCUUAUGGCAGAAAGCAGAGAGAAACUAAAGAGCCUCUUGAUGAAGGUAGAAGAGGAGAGUGAAAAUGCUGGCUUAAAACUCAGCAUUCAGAAAGCUAAGAUCAUGUCAUCCGAUCCCAUCACUUCAUGGCAAACAGAUGGGGAAACAGUGGAAACAUUGACAGACUUGUUUUCUUGGGCUCCAAAAUCACUGUGGAUGGUGACUGCAGCCAUGAAAUUAAAAGAUGCUUGUUCCUUGGAAGAAAAGCUAUGACCAACCUAGACAAUAUAUUAAAAAGCAGAGACAUCUGCUGACAAAGGUUGGUAUAGUCAAAGCUGUGGUUUUUCCAGUAGUCAUGUAUGGAUGUGAGAGUUGGACCACAAGGAAGCCUGAAUUGAUGCUUUCAAACUGUGGUGCUGAAGAAGACUCUUGAGUCCCGUGGACUGCAAGGAGAUCCAAUCAGUCCAUCCUAAAGGAGAUCAGUCCUGGCUGUUCAUUGGAAAGACUGAUGCUGAAGCUGAAGCUCCAAUAUUUAGGCCACCUGAUUCGAAUGAAGAACUGACUCCCUGGAAAAGAUCCUGAUGCUGGGGAAGAUUGAAGGCAGGAGGAGAAGGGGACGACAGAGGAUGAGAUGGUUGGAUGGCAUCACUGAUCAAUGGACAUGAGUUUGAGCAAACUCUGGGAGAUGGUGAUGGACAGGGAGGCCUGGCGUGAUGCAGUCCAGGGGGUUGCAGAGUUGGACACGACUGAGCGACUGAACAGCAGCCAGUGCCUCCACCAUCGCCUCCUCUGGGCCACCUUGCUCUAGAUGUGCCCAGGCGGCUUCGGGAGCCCAGUGUCUCCCGGCUCUCACCUCACCCCAGCGCUGCCCAGGGCUGUUUGUCAGAAACUGUGCUGGUUACAAAGAGAAGAUGCUCCUUCCCCAUGGCCCUCCCAGGGCAAGGGGCACUUUUAAACAGGCACUUCCAGGAUGGGAAGCCACCUGGGCAGAAGCCUUCCAGAACCCGACUCACCUGGGCAGCCCAUGGAGUUUAUCUGGCCUCCCCCAACCAGGCCUCCACAUCUCCCCUCCUCUCCCUCACUCCUGGGCUCCUCUCCUGGGGAGAGUUCUUUUCUUUUUUUAAGAUUCAUUCAUUUAUUUUACUGCUGGCUGUGGUAGGACUUUAUCACUGCACACGAGCCUCCUCUCUGGUUGUCGGGAGUGGGGGCUCCUCCUCGCCAAGGUCAGCGGGCUUCGCAUCGUGGCGCCUUCUCUUGCCUGGAGCUCAGGCUCCAGAUGGGCCAACUUCAGUAGUUGCAGUGCGUGGGUCCCAGCGCACAGGCUCAGCUGCUGGGGCGCAGCCUCACUCUCUCUGAGGCAUGUGGGAUCAUCCUGGCCAGAGAUCACCAGAGAUCGAACUGGUGUCCCAUGCUUUGCAAGGUGGAUUAAUAACCACUGGACCACCAGGAACGCAUGACAGGUCUUCUUGAAAUUGUUUCCCACUUAUAGGCCAGUUAACAUACUUAGCAGACAGACCAGAGCUGCAGCCCCACGUCCAUCCUGACCUUCAGGACACAGCUGGUCCGUGGACUUGGGACAGCAGGGCCCGUUUUCUGUAAAUGAGCCCCUGGUGGGCAAGGAUCGGCUGACCCGGGCAGCGUGACCCAGCUGGCCAGCCCUUCCCAGGUGUGCCUGCUUGAGGCCCUGGUUCCAGGCAGGAGGGCGCCUGCAGCGGUACCAGACAUCACCUUCUCUGCCAUCAGAGGCCGCAGGGCUGGGCUGGCGAGAGGGAAUGAGGGGCCGUGGCGUGUCAGGGGGUCGCCUGCACGGGGCUCUGCUGGGCCUUCUGCAGGAGUUGCUAGGCUGCCACUUGAUAAGGAAGAGGUUGUGUUGCUGGUACCUGCUGUUGGAAGUCUUCCCAGGCAGAGGUGAGGAAGCAAAAACACAGGCAGUGGGAGCAGGGCAGAGGAGUAACUCAGGACCUGCUGGGGCUUCAGCUUUGGGACAUUGUGGGGUUCAGUUCACGGUGACAGGAGCCUGGCCCUUCAGAACCCAUUGGGGGCUUCAGCUUUGGGACAUUGUGGGGUUCAGUGAAGGCUGAUGGGAGUCUGGUCUCCUCAGGAUUUGCGGAGAAGAGGUGCCAUUGAAAGAGAAGGCGAUACCCUGUUUUUCCCUGCUGGUGCCAGUUUCUCAAGACUACAUGACCACCCGACCAUGAGACCCCUUUGACUAUGUGACCACAGGACUCCAGCUGUGGGCUAAGGAUAAACCCCUCUGGGGCACAAUUUCCCAUCGAUACGGUAUAAGAAGGGUUGGCUGUAACAAGAGAGCACUGGUUUCUCUCUAAAACCACUUUCUUUCUUCCUAUAAUAAAUAUUUCUCUGCCUGACUGUCCGGCUCACUCUCCUUUUCUCCAUGCUCGCCUUACAGCCAGGACUCAGAGUAGCAAAGUCAGGCCUCAGGAAGAGAAUGGAACCUCAGUGAGAAGCGAGCCGGAACUCACUGAGGUUGUAGCCAUGCCCCGGUGUGGAGUGGAGCCUGGCCUCAGUGAGGUCCAGAGCCGGGACUCAGAGUAGUCAAGUCAAUCCUCAGGAAGAGGGAGAAGAGAACCUCAGUGAGAAGCCAGCUGGGCUCAGUGAGAACCCUAGCCAGACCCCAGUGUGGGUGGAGCCAGUCCUCAGUCAGAGAGAAGCUGGGUCUCACUGAGGAGCAGAGCCAGACCUCAGAGAGGACCCGAGUCCAGUCUCUAUGUGGAGUGUAGCUGGGCCUCAGUGUAGAAUGGAGUCUUGCCUCAGAGAACCAAAUUCCGUCCUCAAGGAGGACCAGGCUGGGCCUGAGUGAAGAGUGGAGGUGAACCUUCACUCUCAGUGAAGGAACGUUGGGCUUCAGUGAGGAGGGUAGCUGAACCACAGUGAGGCCCAGAGCAGGACUCAGUGCUGGAGCUGAAUCUCAGUGAGGCCCAGAGCAGGACUCAGUGCUGGAGCCAGGCCCCGGUGCGGAGCAGAGCCAGGCCUACCUGAGGAGUGGCGCUGGCCCCAAGUGAGGAGGGGAGCCUGGCCUCAGAGUAGCAGUCAGGCCUCACGGAGGUGAACCAAACCUCGGUUAGAAGCAAGCCAAAUCUCUGUGAGGACCAGAGCCGGGGCUCACUAAGGACCUGAGCGUGGACUGGAGCUGUGCUUCACUGAGGACGAUACCGUGGCCUCACCGAGAACCACAGCCAGGCCCAUUGCAGGGCGGAGCUGUGCGGCAGUGCUGAGCGGAGCCAGGCCUCUGCAGGAGGAGCUGGGUCUCACGGAGCGGAGCCGAGCGGAGCCUGGCCUCAGUGCGGACCCUACCCGGGCCCCAGAGCACAUCACAGGACCGGAGUGGAACCUCAGUGAGGACGGGAGACAGGCCUCAGUGGGGACCAGAGCCGGUCCUCAUUGUGGACUGGAGCUGGUUCUCAGUGGAGAGCAGAGCCAGGCCUCAGAGGAGCAAAGUCAUGCCUCAAGGAGGAGCACAGCUGAACUGCAGUGAGAAGACAGCCUGGCCUCUGUGAGGACCGUAACCAGGCCCGUGUGGAGCAGAGCUGUCCUCACCGAGGAGGGAGCCGGACCUCAGGGAGCAAGGGAGGCACACGUGAUUGCGCAGUGGGGCCAGGCCUCACCGAGGACCACAGCCAGGCCCAGUGAGGGGCAGAGCCUUGCCGGGUCUCAGUGCGGAGAGGACCUGGCGUGCUGAGCUGAGCCGAGACUCAGGCAGGGGUGCAGCUGGACUUCAGUGAGGAGCAGAGCCAGCUCUCAGCGUUGAGGUCCGGAGCCAGGCCUCUGUGUGGACCAGAGCCGGGACGUAUGAGUACCGGAACCGGGACUCAGAGUAGCAAAGUCAGGCCUGAGAGAGGUGGAGAAUGGAGCGUCAGUGAGAAGUGAGCUGGGCCUCACUGAUCACCAGAUCUGGACCCCCGUGUGGCAUGGAACCAGGCCUCAGUGCAGGGCCCCACUGAAGACUGGAGUUAGGCCCUAGUGGGGAGCAGAGCCACGUCUUAGUGUGAAGCAGACCCGAGCCUCAGUGAGCUCUGGGGCUGGGCCUCUGUGCAGACUGGAGCUGGGACUCAGAAUAGUAAAGUCAAGCCUCAGGGAUGAGAAGGGAACUUCAGUGAGAAGCGAGCCGGGCUCUGUGAGGAGCAGAGCCGAGUCUCACUGAGGACGGAGCCUCAGGUUUUUCUCCCAAGGGCCCCUCCCAGCAGGUCCUUAGGAAAUCUAGUUACUAGUUAUCCUCCACAUGUAUAC